Molecule: ribosomal RNA, 451 nt
Filed under: uncultured bacterium
Lineage: Bacteria
Description: partial 16S ribosomal RNA
Rfam family: Bacterial small subunit ribosomal RNA
Source: RNAcentral
GUGGGGAAUAUUGGACAAUGGGCGAAAGCCUGAUCCAGCCAUGCCGCGUGUGUGAAGAAGGCCUUUUGGUUGUAAAGCACUUUAAGCGAGGAGGAGGCUACCGAGAUUAAUACUCUUGGAUAGUGGACGUUACUCGCAGAAUAAGCACCGGCUAACUCUGUGCCAGCAGCCGCGGUAAUACAGAGGGUGCGAGCGUUAAUCGGAUUUACUGGGCGUAAAGCGUGCGUAGGCGGCUUUUUAAGUCGGAUGUGAAAUCCCUGAGCUUAACUUAGGAAUUGCAUUCGAUACUGGGAAGCUAGAGUAUGGGAGAGGAUGGUAGAAUUCCAGGUGUAGCGGUGAAAUGCGUAGAGAUCUGGAGGAAUACCGAUGGCGAAGGCAGCCAUCUGGCCUAAUACUGACACUGAGGUGCGAAAGCAUGGGGAGCAAACAGGAUUAGAAACCCUGGUAGUCC